CUAGGAAUCUUGGGAAUGGGCGAAAGCCUGACCCAGCAACGCCGCGUGGGCGAUGAAGGCCUUCGGGUUGUAAAGCCCUUUUGCGGGGGACGAUGAUGACGGUACCCCGCGAAUAAGCCACGGCUAACUACGUGCCAGCAGCCGCGGUAAUACGUAGGUGGCAAGCGUUGUCCGGAUUUACUGGGCGUAAAGGGCGUGCAGGCGGUCUGUUAAGUCUAGGGUGAAAGCUCCCGGCUCAACUGGGAGAGGUCCUUGGAUACUGGCGGACUUGAGGGAGGCAGAGGAGAAUAGAAUUCCCGGUGUAGUGGUGAUAUGCGUAGAUAUCGGGAGGAAUACCAGUGGCGAAGGCGGUUCUCUGGGCCUUACCUGACGCUGAGACGCGAAAGCGUGGGGAGCGAACCGG
Molecule: ribosomal RNA, 403 nt
Filed under: uncultured bacterium
Lineage: Bacteria
Description: bacterial SSU rRNA
Rfam family: Bacterial small subunit ribosomal RNA
Source: RNAcentral